AAAAUUUUUGAAAUACUCUAUAUAUUUCAGUUUAGAGCCUUUCAUUGCAUAGGAAAUUCAAUUAUCUUUCCAACGGUAUAAAGUUUGCCCAAAUCCAACACCCGGGCGAUAAGUUAGAGCCAUUUUAGUGAGAUAGUGUGCCAACUGAGCCAUCAAUGCGUCACGGAGCAUGACCAAAUGGAAAUCGUCAAUUCUAGUGUU
This 201-nucleotide long non-coding RNA is filed under the name Capsicum annuum. RNAcentral describes it as "long non-coding RNA (CANN_LNC020174)". Lineage: Eukaryota; Viridiplantae; Streptophyta; Magnoliopsida; Solanales; Solanaceae. The record is from RNAcentral.